GGUUCGCGUAGGCUGUCGUCACCGCCCAAGUUUGUGGGAGUUUAGUCUGUAGUGUCCAUCCUUAGGAAGUUUCCGCGCCACGGAAGUGGAAGUCACAGGCAAACCGAUCUGUGCGCGGCGGCCUGCAUUGAAGCUGGAGAGUAUUUUAAACACUACGGAGCGUUUUCCCUAACGGAUCAGGCACAUACACUUGGAAGAAUAAUAAAUCUAAGAAGAAAUUUUAUAAUGAAAAAUUUACAAGAAAGAAAUUUACAAAAUGCCUGAGUCCUGGAAGAAAAGAUUCCAGAGGAAAAACUAAAUAUAAUGAGCAGAAAAAACAAACAAACAAACAAACAAACAAACAAAAAAACCCAACCGACCAACCAAUGAGAACCAACCAACCAACCAGCCAACCAAAUGAGAACUAACCAGUGAGAACCAACCAAUGAGAACCAACCCCGAGGAACAGAGGAAGCACAAGAUAAUGUUUUGAACGAUGACAGGAACAUUUUUUUACUUUUCUUUCUGCUAUUGAAGGCGAGGCAUUAAAAUUGAAGUGCUUUUAGCAUGGUUUCUAGAAUAUCUGGUUAAUGGAGUCCUGCUCCCUACCACACUGAUUUUAGGGAUGCAUUUGGUUUGCGCUCAAUUAGGUUUGAUGAUGCUAAGUGAGAACUUUGUUCAGGCCGAGUCGGAAGGCAUUAUCUCACUGAGUACACACGUCAUCGAGUUUCAUGACUCUGAUUUAUAGCGAUUGAUUUCCAGGUCUUGGAUUAUUUCUGAUGUGUGUGGGUGUUUUGUCUCUAUGUACAUCUGUGCACUAUGUGUGUAGCUGGUGCCCUCAGAGGCUAGACGAGGAGGUUAAAUCCCCUAGGACUGUAGUCUCAGACAGUUACAGGCUACCAUGUGUGGCUGAGAAUUUAGCUCAGGACCUCUGGAAGAACAGCCAGCUCUCCUAGUCACUGAGCCAUCUCUCCAAUCCU
RNAcentral lists this long non-coding RNA (959 nucleotides) under Mus caroli (Ryukyu mouse). RNAcentral describes it as "expressed sequence AV099323 (MGP_CAROLIEiJ_G0003260.1)". The record is from RNAcentral. Lineage: Eukaryota; Metazoa; Chordata; Mammalia; Rodentia; Muridae.